CCUACGGGAGGCAGCAGUGAGGAAUAUUGGUCAAUGGGCGGGAGCCUGAACCAGCCAAGUCGCGUGAGGGAAGACGGUCCUAUGGAUUGUAAACCUCUUUAGGCGGGGAGCAAUGCCGGGCACGCGUGCCCGGCGGGAGAGUACCCGCAGAAUAAGCAUCGGCUAACUCCGUGCCAGCAGCCGCGGUAAUACGGAGGAUGCGAGCGUUAUCCGGAUUUAUUGGGUUUAAAGGGUGCGUAGGCGGCCUUUUAAGUCAGCGGUGAAAGUCUGUGGCUCAACCAUAGAAUUGCCGUUGAAACUGGGGGGCUUGAGUAUGUUUGAGGCAGGCGGAAUGCGUGGUGUAGCGGUGAAAUGCUUAGAUAUCACGCAGAACCCCGAUUGCGAAGGCAGCCUGCCAAGCCAUGACUGACGCUGAUGCACGAAAGCGUGGGGAUCAAACAGGAUUAGAUACCCUAGUAGUC
This 461-nucleotide ribosomal RNA is filed under the name uncultured bacterium. RNAcentral describes it as "partial 16S ribosomal RNA". It matches the Rfam family "Bacterial small subunit ribosomal RNA", at positions 338 to 795 of the family's 1533-position model. The record is from RNAcentral.